Non-coding RNA from Notechis scutatus (mainland tiger snake), 574 nucleotides. Lineage: Eukaryota; Metazoa; Chordata; Lepidosauria; Squamata; Elapidae. The record is from RefSeq and is a predicted model, not a curated record.
UAUCACUGAUUUCAAUUUUUCCCUUCAGAAUGUAAAUAUAUAUUAAUGUUUUUCCAAAUCCAGGUCCUUUACACAUUUUCUCACAGGUGUCUGUGCCAUUAUUGGAGGAGUGUUUACAGUUGCAGGACUCAUCGAUUCUUUGAUCUAUCAUUCAGCUCGAGCCAUUCAGAAGAAAAUUGAACUUGGAAAAACUACAUAGAUUAGUGUCUACAAACCUUCCUAAAAGACUUGAAGAAAUGAAAAAUAACCCUAACAUCAAUGUCCAAUAUGAAUGUGCCAAGUGAAGAUAAUUGGAACUUUGAGAAGAGACUGACAUUCCAGUCCUGGGACAAGUAAAACAGGGAUUAAAUUUAAACAUCGAUGUUUGUGGCUGUUAAAACAUUUCUGUUUUAAUAUUCACAUUAAUCUGUUGGCAUAUAUUUCAGUUUCUAUAUUCCAAAAGAAAGUGUCAUCCAGAAUAUAGACUACAAUAACUUCUACAUGUCUAAAACUAGUUAUUUCUAAUUUAAUUUGUAUUUAGUGAUACUGUAAAUUGUGUGGUUGGAAUAAAUUCUCAGGAAAAUGUUUUACUAAA